AUACGGAGGAUCCGAGCGUUAUCCGGAUUUAUUGGGUUUAAAGGGUGCGCAGGCGGCCAUUUAAGUCAGCGGUUAAAUCGUGGGGCUCAACACAAUUCUGCCGUUGAUACUGGGUGGCUUGAAUGAGGUCGAGGUUGGCGGAAUUCGUUGUGUAGCGGGGAAAUGCAUUGAUAUGACGAAGAAAACCGAUUGCGUAGGCAGCUGACCAGACCGCAAAUGACGCUCAUGCACGAAAGUGCGGGGAUCGAACAGGAUUAGAUACCCUGGUAGUCCGCACAGUAAACGAUGAAUACUUGUUUUCGGCGAUAUAAUGUCGGAGGCAAAGCGAAAGCGAUAAGUAUUCCACCUGGGGAGUACGCCGGCAACGGUGAAACUCAAAUGAAUUGACGGGG
This 392-nucleotide ribosomal RNA is filed under the name uncultured bacterium. RNAcentral describes it as "partial 16S ribosomal RNA". It matches the Rfam family "Bacterial small subunit ribosomal RNA", at positions 523 to 918 of the family's 1533-position model. The record is from RNAcentral.